RNAcentral lists this ribosomal RNA (439 nucleotides) under uncultured bacterium. Its description in RNAcentral is "partial 16S ribosomal RNA". It matches the Rfam family "Bacterial small subunit ribosomal RNA", at positions 339 to 795 of the family's 1533-position model. The record is from RNAcentral.
CUACGGGGUGCACCAGUGAGGAAUAUUGCACAAUGGGGGGAACCCUGAUGCAGCAACGCCGCGUGGAGGAUGACGCAUUUCGGUGUGUAAACUCCUUUUAUAUGUCAAGAAAAUGACGGUAGCAUAUGAAUAAGCACCGGCUAACUCCGUGCCAGCAGCCGCGGUAAUACGGAGGGUGCAAGCGUUACUCGGAAUCACUGGGCGUAAAGGACGCGUAGGCGGGUUGGAAAGUCAGGUGUGAAAUCCUACAGCUUAGCUGUAGAACUGCACUUGAAACUUCUAAUCUAGAGUAUGGGAGGGGGAGAUGGAAUUAGUGGUGUAGGGGUAAAAUCCGUAGAUAUCACUAGGAAUACCUAAAGCGAAGGCGAUCUCCUGGAACAUUACUGACGCUAAGGCGUGAAAGCGUGGGGGGCAAACAGGAUUAGAUACCCCGGUAGUC